Mus musculus (house mouse) is the source of this 31396-nucleotide long non-coding RNA. RefSeq annotates it as predicted gene 20515. The transcript has 4 exons. NCBI's taxonomy places the organism in Eukaryota, Metazoa, Chordata, Mammalia, Rodentia, Muridae. The record is from RefSeq and is a predicted model, not a curated record.
CGUGCACCGUGAGGACGUUACUGGCUGAGGUUUGACGUGCACCGUGAGGACGUUACUGGCUGAGGUUUGACGUGCACCGUGAGGACGUUACUGGCUGAGGUUUGACGUGCACCGUGAGGACGUUACUGGCUGAGGUUUGACGUGCACUGUGAGGACGUUACUGGCUGAGGUUUGACGUGCACCGUGAGUGUGGGGGAUUGGCCAUGCAGUGCGUGGCAUACAGGCCUCAUCAGACAGCAAACAAGGAAUGAGUGUUUCCAUCUUGGCUAUUUGAGCUGGUAAUCCCUUCCUGGGUCUGUUUCUUCAUCUGCAGAACAGAGAUGAUGACCAAACCUUCAAAUGGCUGUUUCACACCAGUAUUCAAACACUGCCAGCAGCUUACAGAAGAUAAAAUAAUGCUUAAUAAGAGUCUCGUACGGCAGUAAUGUCAGCUACCUGUUCACACACUUGAUAUUAUUAGUCUGACUUGUUUCCUCUUACAUUAUUUAAAAAGUAUUAGGAAAUGGCAUCUCUUUGAACUCUGUUCUGUCUACAAAAGCGAGAACUACCAGCUAAGUACUGUGUAGCAAAGAGAUGUAAGCCACUGGGACUUAGAACAUUUUAGCCUUUGCAAUGAGGAGAACGAAGUGGGGAUGUUCACACUGUACGGCCUGGCACGGGUAAAGCACUGCAGUAUCUCCAGGCUCAUGAGGACUAGAUCUGAGCCUGCGGCUAACUAUUGAGAAUCCUACUGAGUAAUUUAGGACAUGGACACAGUUAUUGUGUGAACACAGAUGGUAGCAGAGAAGGCAGACCCAGAAAGGAAAGAGAAACACUUGAAAUAAGAAAGUCCUGUUUCAUUAGGAGUCAGAUUUUAAAAUAACAAGAAGAACAUGACUAAGCUUUUCCAGGUGCACAGACUUUAAUUAAUUAAUUAAUUAAUUAAUUAAUAUGUUCCUCCUUUCAAUAUAACUAUAGUGGGACAACUGGCAUCCCUUCUUUUCUUCCUCAUCUCCUUAUUCCCCAUCCUAUCUCUCUCCUGAGACAGAGACCUUGAUCCUCCUACGUCUACCCAUUUCCCGGAUGCAGGGGUGGUAAGCACGUGGUACCAUGCCUAGUUUAUGCCUUAGGGUUCUGUGCAUGCUAGGCAAACAUGCUAGGCAAAAUACUCUGCCAAUUGGGCCAAGUUCAGAGCAUCCAGAAGGAGUCAGAGUAGACAGAGGACAGCAGGAGAGUAAGGCCCUCUGGAUAAACUGAGCAAGGCACAUACAAGCUCACAGAGACUGAAGCAGCAAGCACAGGGCCUUCGUGGGUCUGUCCCAGGUCCUCUGUGUGUGAACUACAGCUUUCAAGCUUAGUGUUUUGAUGGGACCCUUUGGUUUGUAAAUUAUCGGGUCUCUAAUUAUUGUGCCUGAUCUUGGAACUCUUUUCUUCCUGCUAGGUUACCUUGCCCAGCCUUGAUGUGAUGGGUUUUGUUUUAUCUUAUUAUAUUCUAUUUUUCACGUUUGGUUAUUAUCUCUCAGAACCCUGUUCUUUUCUAGUGAGAAAUAGACAGGAAGUAGAUCCUGAGGGGAGGUGGGGAAGAAUCCGGAGGAGUAGAGGGAGCAGAGACUAUAAUCGGGAUAUAUUAUGUGAGAAAAAAAAAUCUAUAUUCAAAAAAGGGGAAAAAAGAAAUAAGUCAUGCCUUAAGUUAUCCAAUCACUGAACCAUCAACCAAGGGGCAUGCAUGGGACUGACUUAGGCCCUCUGCACACAUGUAACAGUUGUGUAUCUUGGUCUUCAUGUGAGACUCCUAACAGCUGGAGCAGGGGCUGUCUCUAACUCUGUGGCCUGCCUUUGGGACCCUUUCCCUAACUGGGCUGCCUUGUAGGGAAAGACGCACCUAGUCUUACUGCAACUUGAUAUGCUAAGGCUUGUUGAUAUCCAUGGGAGGCCUGCCCUUUGCUGAAGAGAAAGAAAGGAGGAGAGGGUGGGCAGAGGGAGGGUAGAUGGAGGAGGGGCCAAGAUUGGGUGGAGAGGAGGGAGGAGAAACUGCAAUCCCAAUGUAAAGUAAAUACAUAAAUUAACUAUUUAAACAAAAAGUGUGCCAGUCACACUGUGUGCAAAACAAGAAGUGUGCCAGUCACACUGUGUGCAAGAUUCCAUGUCUUUCUUUUGCAGAAGCAUAGGCCUGUUGGCUUGUUAAGUCACGUGGCUGUGAGACCCACCCUCUAGUUUACUGUCACCUGUCAGUCAUUUUUCCCAUCACGCCUAGUGCCAGGCUACUUUUAAACUUUCUAAUUAGAAACGAAGUUGUUAGGAAGAUCCAAAUGAUGCUAGCAAUUUCCUUUUCUGAGGAAUGUUCUCAGGUUGAAGUCCUCACAGGGAGUGGGGCUGAGGUGGUACAAGCCUUCAAUCUCAGCACUCAGGGGGCAGAGGCAGGUAGAUCUCUGAGUUCAAGACCAAACUGGUUAACAGAGUGAGUUUCAGGUCAGCCAGGGUUAUACAGAGAAACCCUCUUUCAGAAAACAAAACAAACAAACAAACAAACAAAAAAAAAACAAAUCCUGGACAAGCUGGGCCAUGGUGUGGCAGCUCAUUGGCCUUGCAGGUGGCUGUACCCUCAUGCUUUCCCUUCUCUGCAAACCCAUACUCAGGCACUCUUGAGUAUCACGUAUUACAAAAUGGGUUCUUCCUGACUUCUCAGACAGAAGGCUGGGACUACAUGAGCAUCCCUUCCAUUUCUAGUUGGGGACAGAUGGCCAUUACAUAUUCUGCAAACCCAUUGAGUGUUUCCUUCUGGAGUGACCGUUGUCACUUCCCAUCAGACCCUAACAUAGCAUGCCGCACUUGACCUCUGGCCUUCGAAUUUCCAACUGAGCUAUGGUAACAAAUAAAUUUUGGUCUUUGUCCCUAGGUCUCGACACACAACUUCUAAACCUUUGGGUAUUAGGGGUGCUAGGACCAUCCUUUGUUUGAAUUCCCUUGUGACAGAAGCGUGUUUGGUUUAAGGGAGAUGAUUCUUGGUGGUCUUCUGUUUAACUUCAAGUUGGGGCUGGUAGAGAAAUCAAGCCAUGCUUAGAAGCUGAACAAGCCCCAUCUCACCCUCCCUCAUCCUCUGGAAAGGAAAGAAGGUAUAAAAAUUUGUUGUUGAUCAAAUAUUCCAAUAUAAUGACGCUCCCAUAAAAAUUCCUAAAAGGAAUUAGAAAACUCCUGUGACUGUGAACAUGUCUACAUACUGGCAAAGUUCCACCCCCAAAUAACACAGGAACACGUGUGUGCUCAAGACCCGACCACAUCAUCCCACACACUGGACCCUCUGCAGUGUCAUUAAUAACAACCCAAUAAGUACAGGGAAAUGACACUCUGGGUUCUAAGGUGCUAUAUUCUCACACCUGGGGAGAGAGACAGAACCGCACAAUUAUAGCUAAGUCAGAAGAUUGUGAUUGACAUCUGCGCUUGGGAAAAUAUUGCAGGACCGAGCUGUUCUAAUAUACUUCUCUGGGUGAUGAUAAGUCAUUAGGCACAGCUCUUUCCAAAGCUCAUCAUUCCAGUGAUUCUUAGUAUCUCCUGCUCCUAGUCCCUCUUGCUGGAUCCAUCCUGGCAUAUGAAACCCACAGAGUUAUUCUGACCUACCUGAAAGUAACUUCCUAUAAAGUAUUUAGAGCUUGAACUAUCAAAGCAUGCUUAUAUAGAACCCAGUGGUAAACAUCAUUUAUCACACAACACAUCACCAUGUGACAGAACUGUACUGAGAUGUUUGGGCAAACAGCUUUCUUCUCAGGAACAGGCCUAGCAUUAGUGUCUGCGUAGCUAAUGGUGAUGUGCUUGGACAUUUGUGGGAAGCAUAUUAAGAUCCUUGGAAGAUCGUUUUCAGGGAGUUUGAGAAACCUGCGCUCAGAUGCACACUCUCCCAAAUGUGGUUUCAGAGCAGUUCACCGUGCCUCAUUUGUAAAGGGUAUGCAUUUGAUAUAUAGGACAUCAUCUAUUGCACAUAGUUAGUUAUGUAUGCACAGCAUGUCUAUGCGAAUAAACAAAAGGGAAAACUAGAAAGAAAUGUAGGUAUUGUCUAAGGGAUUUGGACUGCCUGACAUAGAAACACAAACCCUUCUUAUUUUCACUGUGUAUUUUCUAUGCUUUCGUUUGAUUUGCUUACAUGUACACAUUUGCUUUCAUAAUUAAAAGUAAGCACGACCUGAAAACUAGCACGAAAGUAAGGUAACAAUAAUGAGCUAUCCAUCUACAGUUCUAGUAGAAUAGCUUAACUGGUUGAAUUGGUCUGGUUCAAAAAUUUUAAAUUGCAUUUGUUUAUGUGUGUGUGUACACGUGCAUACAUGCGUGCGUGCUGCGUGUGUGUGUGAGCAUGGUACACACCUGAAGGCUAGAGACCAACUUACAGGAGUCAGUUCUCUCCUUCUACCGUGUGGGUAUCAGGUAUUGCACUCAUGUCACCAGGCUUGGAGGCAAGCACCUCUACUCACUGAGACAUUUCACUAGCCCGAGUUUGUGCCUCUCUAAAGGCAAGUAGAAGCUUUCUUACUGGGAUGUUUUGAGCUAAGUAUCAUUUGACUCAAAAGCUCUGACUGCCUUCAGCAGCACAGGCCAGGUCUUCCAAGAGACCCCAUCCCUGAAUCCCACCAGAGCCCUUUACCCUUUGCCCUGUUAGCAAAGACUCCAAAGAGCUCAAGGCUAAAUCCAUCAGCUGUAGAUUGCAUUUAAAUAAUGUGAAAAUGUAGCUGUGUGUUCACUUCUAAAGGCAUUCUGCAGGACAGGUCUGAGCAUGCCUAUUCACUACAUGUUAAGAUAUAUAACAUAGAUAAGUAUUUAUUGUGAUAAUACACUGGUGUUUUGUUUCCUGGUACUACUUUAAAAUAUACAUUCUCUCUGAAUAAGUGGAUUUAUACAAUUUAGCCACAUUCAAUAAAUUUCCUUACAGCAAGCCUUCUCUAACAUGCAAGUGCAGAGAUGUGUAUCCUGAUAUUCAGGACUUGAUGAUAGAUGGUCUCAGAUUCCAAGUUGGCAAGGUGACUGCAUGUGGUGGGAAACUCAUCAAAUUCCCCGAGGCAAGAAAGGGACAGCGGAUGCUCACAUGGCCACAUUGGGACAGAAGGCCAUGUGACACUGAUAGGAGACACUGAUCUCACUGUCCUGUUCCUGUAGACAAGUUUGUAGGACAUUUUCUUGAUUAAUGAUUGGUAUAGGAAAGCCCAUCUCAUAGAGGGAAGUGUCACCUAUACACACAGGAGGUCCCAGGUGCUAUAAGAGAGCAGGCUGAGCAAGCCACAGAGAGCAAUCCAGUAGGCAACAUUCCUCCAUGGCCUCCGCAUCAGCUCCUGCUUUAGGUUCCCUCAGUGAUUGGAGCAGAGCAUAGCAGUGUCACAAUUUACCCUCAUGUUAUCAUGAGUGACAAUUCCUUUCCUCCACAAGGCGUCUUUGGCCAUGGUCUUCAGCACAGCAUUAGAAGGCAAAGUAAGACACAUACUAAGGGAUGGGGAAGAGCUUGAAGAUGCUGCUUGCCGAUUCUGAAAUUAGAGGAAAACACCACAAGUGGAGGAUGCCUGGAGACCUGGGGUCUGAGAAGAUGAAAGGAGAAGAUCCCCCAAGAAUGUCCAGAGGAAAAAUGGCCCAGCAGAACUUUGCAGAGAUCUCUGAUUCUGAACUUUAAGAUAAUACAGGAUGAUAAUUUAGGAUGGUUUCUUGGUUUGGUUUUGCUAGUUUUGAGACAGGUCUCGAUCUGCUACCCAGGCUGAUCUCAAAUAGCUGCUAUCCAGUGAUUGUCUUGUCUCAGUCUCUUCUGGAGUAGGACCACAGACAUACACCACUGUGGCUUAGUUUUGUUUUGUUUUUUAUGAUACUAAAUUGUGGGAGUUUAUUGUAGUCAUAGCAGGAAAACAGACUAAAGGAGGAUAGAAUUUGUCUGCAAGUAAGUUGCAGUGGUUUGAUGAGGACUAUGCUACUUAAGGUCCAAACACUGGAAAACUAAACAACCAAAGUCAAGACCAGGGAUUUGGAAAGAUGUCUACUUGGCGAAUGUAGGCAUGAGGACUUGAGUUUGAUCUAAAUCCAUGUUAUCAAAACAAGACAAAACAAAACAACAAAACAAAACAAAACAAAACAAAACACAAACUCCCCAAGUAUUGUGGCAUGUGUUUGUAAUCUGAGCCCAGGGAAGGCAGAGACUGGUUGGUCUUUUGGUCCCCUGGCCAGCAGCCCAGCAAAACCAGCAAGCUGCAGGUUUCAAUGAGUCUGUCUCAAGAGCAACAACAAAACCCAACAAAAGAAAGGGAGAAAGACUCCCAAGGAACCCCAGCGUUGAUCUCCAGGCUCCGAUGCACAUAUCUUCAUCUCGAGACCCUGAACUUAAGUCACUUCUGCAGAGUUCAUCUACUACCACAGGUAACCUUCAUGAAGCUAAACGCCUGCAAAUAUGUGUGCACCUACCCGAGCAGCACACGCACACCCAAACAAAAGCCAAACAAAGUGACAAGUGGAGAGAAAACUGUAGUGUUUCACAUUUUCUUAUUAAAUAUUCUCUAAUGCUAAUUUUUCAUAUGCAAUGAUACUUUUGUUGUAUGAAAUCUUCUUAAAUAUAAACUGUCACCUGUUAGCACUGCCAGACCAAACCUCAGAUGACAGAGAAUAAAGGAAGAUCAAGACAAACAUGUUUGAAAAGCAUCUCUCCAUGGGGGAUGGAUUGGCUUUUUAUGUCUGCAGGUCUCAGCUUGGCCAGGUGACUUCAAAGUUUUUAUUUGGUGGAUUUUUAAGGAUACAAACAUGUGCUAUUGUGAAGGUUUCCUUUUGAAGACUGAGUGUUUCGUACACAUAGUCUAUGCUGCCCUGUUACCCACUUCCGAUGAACAAAGGGAUGGUCACCACAUCACAAGCACCUGUCAUAGUUUGAUCUUCUGAGCCUUGACUGGACUGUGCUCUGACCAUCUCUGGUUCAGCUUGGAGGAGUUUGCAAACCCAGAUUCUAAUACAGGUAACUUUUAAGCAACGUUCUCAUAUCUUUUUAAUACUUACUUUUUAAUUUUGUCUCUGUGUGUAUGCGUGUGCACAUGCGCGUAUGUACACAAGUAUAGAUUCCUAAGAGGCAUCAGAUCCUCUGGAACUGGUUGGGAGACACUUGAUGUAGUUGCUGGGAAUCGAACUCAGGUCCUCUGGAAGGGGAACAAGUGCAGUGGAUUGCAAAGCCAGCUCUUCAGCCCCUACCUAUGCUUGCUUAUUCUUAAACAAAGCUUUUGCUUCAACAUGAUAAUUCUUGUUUAACUUUCCUUGGAGUCAAUUCAGAGCUCCAAAAUGAAAAACACCUUGGGAGCUGGUUUAAUUACACAAUUUGCUCAAUAAAUAUAACUUGCUUCUCUUUAUUGUAGACUAUAAAUAAAAGCCUGGCAAGGAAGAUUUGUAUUAGAGGCCAAAUUAAGUUACUAAUAAUUUGUGAAUUCUCAGACAACUUCUUUAGCUUCCUGUAGUUUUAUUCAGUUCAAGUGUAUAUGCCAGGAACUGGAGAGAUGACUCAGCAGUUAAGAAUGCUUGCUGCUCUUGCAGAGGACCUGGGUUUGGUUCUGAGCACCCACAUAUCAGCUCACAGAGAUCUGUAACUUCAGUUCCAGGGGACCUGAUGCCCUCUUCUGGCCAUACAUAUAAGUACAUGGUGCAAUAUAAACCUGGAGGCUCUUAGACACAGAAAAUAAAAACAAAUCCUCAAACAACAAAUGUAUAUAUAGGAAAUAUAUAUGUUCUAUAGUACUUGUAGUCUAUAGCUAUUCUAGUCAUUAGUGACAUCACUAUGAGAGAUCCAUUCUGACCUGCCAGCAGUUUCAAGGGAAGUAGACCCUCCCUGAAGGACUCAGAAUGGAGAGCAUAGUCUACCAGAGCAGCCUCUGGCCUGGCCAAGAAAAAGCCUUUUCCACACCACACCUGAAAGGUGAGGAACAUCUAAUCAACUUAGGAUUCUCCUCUGUCAUACUAAGACACUGAGCGGAUGAAAGCAACGCUACUGUCUCCUCAUGUUCCUGAACUAUACCUCCAAAUGAAAUUUAUUGUCUAAUAAUAAGGAGGAAUCAGACGUAGUGUUGGGAACACAGCAGGCUGGUGCACAAGGGGUGGUAAAGAGAAGCUGACAUUAGAUACACUCGGGUAACAACUUCUAGCCUACCCUGACUUAUUUAAGGGCAUGCCCACUUAUAGAGAAGCAGGUGGCAACGCCUCUCAACCCGUUUGAUUUUAUCUUAAGUACAAUCUUAUCUUGGUGCCACUAUUCUGUGACGAAAACCUUAAUGCUGGGAUAUUGCAGGCUCCAAUCACUGACUUACACAAACAGUUUGGAUUAAAAAAAAAUGAGCUUGGGCUUAUGACUCUAUCCCAACCCCGCAUCCCCCACCCAGCACACACAUCUGGAACAGCAGGAGCAGCAGGAGGAAUCACAUUUGGCAUGGCAACUGGUGUUCAUUCACUUCUGCGGCAAGAGUACCCAAGCGCCGUUUCAGCCUGAUAAACUUCCCAGUUGUUUAGUUGUGUUUUGCUUUGUUUUCCAGGUAAAUGUUUCCUCCCUUCCUCUGACAGGGAGAUUAAGUUCCACCAGAGUUUUGGGCUCUUAUAUUGCAUUUUUAUAUCAAGCAAAGUGCAAAAGAUUAUUUCUAGCAUUAAUCACUGCAGCUAAUAAAGAUGGGCCGCCCAGAGGUAGGGCCUGAUACUAGGAAGCUUUUCUAAGCGCCUCAAUGAAGAUGCUCAAUCGCAUGUAACUCCUGUACAAUCCACUAAUAGAGAAACAGCGUUAAUGAGGGAUUGCAUCAUCACCAAUGGGCCUGCUGAGUAGCUUGGCUCUGGUCGGCUGCUGCCAAAAUGCAGUUCUCAUUUCCAACAAACAAAGUCUAUCUGAGAGACAGCACAGAGCCCUUCAGAACCGGGAAGUCCUGUGCAUAAUAAUGAAUCCCAGCUCUUCUUUUGCCAAAGAGCCUGGGCCCUUUCAAUGUCAUAGGUCAGCCCAGUGACUCAGAGAGGGCCUGAUCCUUAUCUAAGCGUUUGCAGCAAAAUUAGAAUGUGCUGUAGUCUUAUUAAAGAAAUGUUUGUCCCCCGUCAAUGAGCUGAAAAGAAAGCAGCUCAAUGCACUUUUGCAAAUUACAGCAAUAAACUGCUUGAAUUAACUGCUUUAUUACAAAUAUUUAAUUAUUCGGAGGGUUAAAUAUCCAACAUUUUAGAAAGGCAAAAAAUUAGCUACCGAUUUGGUAACCUAGCUUGUUUAAAAUCUCUCAUGGUGGUGUGUAUUUGCGUUUUUAUUUUAAACAGUCCCAACUUUGAGGUGUCUUCCUUGUGAAUUUAGCCAGUUUCCUUUCAUUGUGAAUGAAACAGCAAACACACACAGCUAUCACUCCUGAGGUAAGCUGUCAAGAAAAUCAAAUCUGCAACUCAUGAGCACCACAAAAGGCAGACUCUGUUUGCUUCUCUGGGAGCGGGAACACUUACACUGGAGGACUCCCGAGCCACAGAGGUCGUCAAGUACAACCCAUUCUAAGGGACAGAUAAAGUAACAUGGCCAUUAUAUUUAAACAGUUGCUAGUUAAAUAUUGUUUAAAGUAUACACUCCUUUAUUUAAAAGGGCCAAAGAUUAAAACUGUACGUUAAAAAGAAAAUUUGACAAAUGCAUACUAAGCAAAAAGCAAGUGUUCUCAGAGAGAAGUUUUUAUGCCCCCACACAGAAUUCUGUUCAUUAAUCCAAAUGUGUUUUCCAUUUAUUAAAUCAUAUGAGGCAGAUGGAAAUUAUUUUUAAAUAGAUUUCUUAAAAAAAAUUAGUAGGGAGCGUUUCUCCAUAAAGCAAAGAAAAACAUUACAAUAACAGAAAACGGGUCAGGAUGCGCCUGCACAGAGGGCAUAUCAAAGCGUGUUGUCGCCCGCUGUCUGUAUCAGCAAGCUGACUGCUCAGGGCCAGAAAAAUCUGCCAUGUAGGUCCGACUCUUCACUGAAGCUCUUAAAUGCGCGCUCGGAAACUACAAAGUGCUGAAUAUAUUUUCAGUCUUUUUAUGUGACGAUUUACAACUCGUGACCUUAGGCAGUGUUAUGCGCGUAAAACAAAAUGACGAGACCACCCUGGUUCAGAGCUGAAUAAAGGUAGUAUAGAAUCAAACUUCAUUAUCAUUCAAAUGUCAGGAGGGAGAACAACAGAAACUCCACAGUACAUAGAUAUAUAAUUCUAUUUUGCAGUUUUACUUUAUAAAAAUGCCCCCUCUUCACUUGUAUUUUGCUAUUAACCAGCUCAGAGCAAGUAGACAAUUAUCUAAGCUUAAUGUUGAAGUAAUAACGUGCUACAAACAUUAAAACCCUUGAGGCACGUCAGCUGGGGCCUGUGGGGGAUAAAGCCGCGACCAGUUGCUCCUCGGGCUGCCCACCCUGACGUUCAGGAAAAUUAUCGUUUUGCUUGAUUCAGACCCGGACACUGGGAGCCCCUGACAUCGGGAUGACUGUGCUGGCAGCAUGCCUCCUGAUACCCACAAGAGCUGUCCCUGCUCUCUGUCCCAUGAAAGGAGUCCUUGUUACUUCUCUUUGAUAGCUGGCACACUGCCCCUUUCACAGACCCAACGAACCGUCAUCUUGGAUGUAACAAAUUAGUACAUUCUCAGAAUAAUAAUAAGCGCAGGCAUGAAAACACCGUUGUUUUUACUUGGAAAUGAAGUAACUCAUUUUAGCUGAGUGACUUUUUUCAGUGCAGCACCCCAGGCCAAAGAGAAAAAAAAAAGAAACUUUUUUUCCCCCUUCUGAAAAGAAUGGUCAAUUUCAAGAGAGAUAUGACACACGCUUUACUGUAAAAAUCUGAGAAAGUCAAAUUAAUUGGGGGGGGGGAGAGCUUUCACUGUAGAAUAAUUAAAAAGAAAAUUAGGGGCUCAAAGGAAAUCCACACGUACCUAAGUGAUGUGUCAUUAGAGAAAUAGGAUCGGAGAUGACUCACCAUGGUACUCAGUUCUGAUACCAGGUUAAGAUGUAUCUUGUGAAUUUUUUUUUCUACUUGUAAAAAAAAAAAUUAACUAGGAGUUAAGAAAAGAUCCGGUAUAAUAGAAAACUAAUUGAAUGUCUCGAGUGUUAAAACACUAGAGAGUACCAUGAGCAUGUUUUCAUAUGUUAAUAACCAUGUCAAAAUGUUCUUCCAGUUCUCAGAAACAUUUCCUUACCGGUGAGGGAGCUUCUCUAGUCUCAGGACCGCUCCUUUUACUACAUUAGUAAGAGAAAGCUAAUGUUUACACAUUUGCAUAUGGGAUGAAUCUACUUCAAAGGCGACCCACAACCACACGGGAAACACCUUUGCUCUCUCCCUACCUGGCAACCUCAGAAAGUCUGGAAAAAAAGGCCAUGAGAACCUCUGUUACUGGAUCUUCACAGCCGCUCCAGCUAAGGGCUGACCUAGGCUCCAAAUAGCGAGUGUCCUUUUCAAAUAGACGGUCAGUUGAGAUUGGAAGAGCUGCCAAGAAGUGCGGAAGAAUAAACUAAAUAAACACUUAUUUAUACUCUUGUAGAUACGGGCCAAUGUGGACGUUAGUUAGCUCCAGAGGACGGCCUAGAGAUUUAACAAUCACUAAUUUGUUCUCUGUUCUCGCUAGCUCUUGUCUCCUGAAAUAAAUGGUCAUAUUUUAAUACAAAAUGUACUAUAAAUUUAUUAAACUUUCUGGUUCAGAUGAGUUCAAAAUAUCUCAUUAUAAACGGAGACUGUCCUGAGAGGCAGUCAAGCAUGAUUAAAAAGAUCACUCUUUUACACAAAAAAAUAGCCUUCUUACUUUACCCUUUGUUGAAAAGACAUUUGGCCAGCCACAGGGGAAAGACAUAAUCUACUUUUAUAUUCAAAUAAUUUAUUUGAAAACUCCAUGGCUACGAUGACCCUAAAUAAUUCUGGGUUGAAUAUACAUAUUACAUGGGUUUAUGUGACCUUAACCACUGACUUGUUUUAAUGUGCCAUCAAUGAUUUUAGCAAUUAUUUUUUUAAAGGAGAAAGACACAUUCUAACACUUUGAUUUAAAAAUUGCCAUUAAAUAAAAUUAUAAGGAAAGUACACGUUAAAGCGCAGUGUAUUUCUGCCAAUAAACCCGCACACCCAGAGUCAAGCUUGGGAUGUUACUUGCUGUCCUCGAGCAGCACCCAUCUCUCUGAUCUGACUCACAUUCCAAUACACCAUCUACCUGGUGACAACGUGUCAGAAAUGGUGCCAUCGCUAUUUGGCUUUCAUGGAGACAAACAGCACUUGCGGAGCAUACAAGGCUUCUCUGAGGAUCCGUUCUGUUUAGCUCUGGGCAUUUGGUCUCAGCAUCUUGAUGAUAAGGUUAGUUGUAUAGGCUCCAGGCAACAGAGAACUUCAUUUUGAAACCUCCUCCCCACCCCCACCCCACCACCGCCCCAGGAGCCAAAGAAGAGGCUAGCAGUGACUGUUUGCCCAUUUGCUUUAAGACACUGUCCCUUUCAUUCAGCUGCCCAGCCAGUGCCCACUGUUACAUAACAGCAGAGAGUGGCGGUCCACAAAGCAGGUAGGACCCUCCUAAAUACUCAGCUCUCUUAUUUAGGGUUUUAAGAAAACAGACAGUUGUCAAGCAGCUGUACAAAGCAUUUAGGAAACUGUUCCUACAUUCUUAAUUUCUUUCCUGUUUACCAGUCGCAACCAAGCCCUAAAAAGUCCAGAAAAGGAGUCCAGAAAGUUUUCUGAUUUUUGCUUAUGUUUUUUUCCUUCCAACUUCCCACGGUACGCAUGAGAUAUACCCCCCCCCGCCCCCCUGCCACCUCCCCAUACAGAAAACCAAAAUGCGAAAUGUGGACUUGUGCAUUCCGGGCGCCUCCCCAGACUCUGCCCCUCUUCCAGCCAAGCAGAAUGAGUAUCUGGGCUAACCACACAUUUCAGGACAAAGGAGCUAAUUCAUGGGGGAGGGGAGACCACACACCAUUUAUAAGGUUUGUUCAGUUUACAAGAAAACCAUUGUCAAUGCUUUGUUGAUUCAUUAUCAAUGACCCUCGUGACAAAUAACAAGUGACCACCUCCUGGCUCAACUCUCCAGCAUCUUCCCCAUGCAGGAGCAGCCGGCCUCUACUGGGCUAAUUGCUAGUCAAGAAAACUGGAACUGUGGGGACAGGAGAUGGCUCUGAUCACAGAUGUAGCCUUUAGCUUGAAGAUUUGAUGGAACUGUGGUUCUGGUACAUGGAAUAUCUCAAACAAUAGGGUAGUGCUUGCUUUUACUACAUGACUCUGCUGUGAAGAACCAAAUUCCAGUAGAGGGAGAGAAAAAGCCAGGAAAGGACCAUAGAGGCUUAUGCUGCUCUAUGCAGGGGCCACCGCCAGGAUGUUUCAGUUCCUACAAAUCUUCUUGUAUCCCCACCUACAAAAUAGGACUAAAGUAUUUUUUUUUGUAAAAAAAAAAAAAAAAAAAGGGAAAAUCACCUUAAAAUCCUUUGUUGGAAAAAUGUUAUACAGAGAACGAGCAUUAUCUUCCUCGUCCAUUGAACCUUUGUACUUUUUUCUCUGUCCUGAGGGAAAUAAUAAAUUGACAUAUUUUCUAUCAUCAGAGAUCCUUUUAAGACCACAAUGUGAUUGCACUCCAUGCGCCUCACACUUAUCCCCAUUAAAAACACACAAAGGGCCGAAGGCACGAUAGGACUGGGUGGUACAAAGGGCGCACCAGAUCUGCUGUCGUACAACACGGGUGCUCCUGCAUCACCUGGCCGGCUCCAAGGCAGCGACAAGCAGGCCCUGUAUAAUUUCCUGCUGAAACUGUGCUCUAUGGGAGAAAAGCACACCGAUUGUACUCCCUGUGGUCGAUUGGCUGCAGAUCAGCUCUGUUCCCCAGCUUCUCCAGCACUUUUAGCAGCACUGUAUCUUUUUGACUGGCUGGUUUAGCUGGAAACACAGGAAGGAAAUCUGUUAUUGGGACACCUAUAUAGUAGCAUUGUCUCUUCUUCUUCUCCUUCUUCCUCUUCUCCUUCCUCCUUCUUCCUCCUCCUCCCCCUCUUUUCUUCUUCUUCUUCUUCUUCUUCUUCUUCUUCUUCUUCUUCUUCUUCUUCUUCUUCUUCUUCUUCUUCUUCUUCUUCUUCUUCUUCUUCUUCUUCUUCUUCUCCUUCUUCUUCUUUCUUCUUCUCCUUCUCCUUCUUCUUCUUCCACCUCAUCCUCCUCUUCUUCCUCUUCCUCCUCUUCCUCCUCCUCUUUAUCCUUCUUCUAACAAACCAAAACCACCCUGAAACUGUUCUUUAUGAGGGGGAAGCAGAAAAAAUCCUUCUACUUGUUUCUUCAACUGCAUCAGCUGUGAAAUUCCAAGUGGUUUUCAAAAGAAGGUAAGACAGUAGUGUGUCAAGAGGCUGGAGAGAAGGGCAUUCUUAGGGAGCACUGAGGGAAUGUUCUCAGUAGAUACAUAACACGGAAAGAGGAUGUAAUCAAAUGAUCCUAGUGAUCCAUGCUAAGAGGGGGUAUAAGGACCGUGAACUGAGGCUGUCUGGAGGGCAGCGCCCAAGCCUCUAUGGACCCUAUAUGUGUCCUUAGAAGUCAGAUGUUCCUUAUCUCAAGUGAGUUAAGCUCUGAAAUAAAAUUGUAGUGACAGAGGAGAAGCGAGAGAGACUACCAACACUGAAGUCAGAGGAUACAAAAAAAAAAAAAAAAAACAGCAGAAAUUUCUCCCAAACACUAGAUGUUCUUCCCAGAGGGGUGUGAGGGAGCUUUCAUACCUAACCCCUCAGGGCUCCAUCUGCCUGUCAGAUUAUUCUGAAGACACGUGUUGUUCAACAACCUCACAAGAAACAAGAGGCUGUAUUGACUUAGGGUUGUUUUAGUUGUAGAUCUCUUUGGACAUCUAGUUUGAGAAAGGGGAGGGGGAAUUCAUGGUAGAUAAUAUUGAGGCUGACCAAGAUGGAGAAGCGAGAUGGCCACCAGAGGUAGUACCCUCUUCCUAGUGUUCAGGUCACUCUGGAUUCACGGACAAUGACUCUCUGCCCUGUAAUAAGUGCCCUUAAAACCAACACUUCUUUGCUGUUUCUACUUUUACUUAUUUAGUCCUGGCCAUGUGGCAGGCAGUUGGUCAAGCUUUAUAAGUGUUGCGUAGUCCUCUUCAUAACUCUGUACCCUAAAUACCAUAGUAUAGCAGCCUCCAUGCUAUGGAUGAAGAGAACAGAACCUUGAAGAAUUACAAAGCUAGCCUGAAUCAGCCUAUAUUAAAGUAUGGAGUCAGGACUGUGCCCAGCUCUGGAAAUCUGCUUCUUGCCUGGGACUAUGGAACACCUUCUCUUCUCUCUUUUCUCUUCUUCUCUUCUCUUCUCUUCUCUUCUCUUCUCUUCUCUUCUCUUCUCUUCUCUUCUCUUCUCUUCUCUUCUCUUCUCUUCUCUUCUCUUCUCUUCUCUCCUCUCCUCUCCUCUCCUCUCCUCUCCUCUCCUCUCCUCUCCUCUCCUCUCCUCUCCUCUUCUUUCUCCUUCUCCUCCUUCUCUUUCUUUCUCUUCUUUCGCUUUCUUUUUCUUUUUCUCUUUCUCUCCUCUCCUCUCCUCUCCUCUCCUCUCCUCUCCUCUCCUCUCCUCUUCCUCUCCUCUCCUCUCCCUCUUCCUUUUCCUUCAGUCCUCUUUCUCCUCCUCCUUCUUUCUUGUUUUGAAAUUUUGUUUUAUUUUAAUCACUAUUCUUCAGGAUUAUCAUAGACAUACAAUAAUUUGUAUACUAGGUCAAAUUUUAUAAGUAGAUUUAAGUGCUUUCUCACUAAACUAGGUUUUAUUUUUAUCUAAUCUAGCAGGAAUGUUCUGAGUAGGAAUAAUUCUUUAGAUUUUCAUCAGUAUAUGUUACUGAUAUUAAUAUUAUGAUAUUUCCUCACAUGUACACAACAUAUUUUGAGGAAGAUGACCACCUUUAUCCCUCUGUGUCACUCAAGUUGUGGGCUUGGCUCACUGUAUUUUUUUCUGCAUCUGCCCCUGUCCUCUAGCCUCUGAACCAGUACAUGAUUCUCUACUUCUGUGAUCUCAUCUUUCUUAGAUACAACUCAUAAAUUAGGUCAUGCGAUAUCUGCCUUUCUGUGCCUGGCUUCUAGAACUAAGCUUGGUAUGUUGAGAAGACAGCCACGUGUUCAUGUUCAAAGCGAUGCUCUUCUUAAAAGCCAAGAUCAGGAAGAUUUACUCCCAGAUGAAGGGAUAAGAAAAUCAUGGUACAAUACAAGAUGCAAUUGUGUCAUAUUAUGUGAGAAGUCAGGCCCUUGCUAGUCUUCAGUGAGAAUUCAACAACAUGUAGACUUGUUAGCUUCUUUUAGCUCAGGCCUGUCUUCUGUGCACCUUGGUGCACUUGCCAAACUCCCCUCUUCAUCACAUCCCACUGGCCAGUGUUGAGCCAAUGACUUUGUUUCUAUGUGGCUCAACUUCUGCACUAAUGAAAUCAAUAUAUUAAUUUUUGCUGAUAUUGCUUGUGUCUCAAUGAAUUAAUACUUAGAAAGGCUUCCCUGAACUUAAACAUGCACAACAGAUAUUCGUUGUUUAAUCUUAUUUUAGCCUUAUAUUUAUGUUUAUAUAAAGUCUGCAUUGCUUGCUUGGCCAGCGUAUGAAUAAUUCAGUUUGGACCUUAGAAUUUUUGCAGCUUUGGGAUUCCCGAGUUCAUCUGGGAGUUUAGUACUUGAUAGAUAAGACUGCAUCUAAAGUCAUGGUCAAAGAAUGUUGGUAUCCAACCCAAAUCAACUGACCCAGAAUCCUAAAGGCAGGUCCCAGGAAAGUGCCUUUAAAGCAGCUUUCCAUUUAUCUUUACGUACGAUUAAGUUUAGUGACUAUUCAUUACAGCCUAAACCCCAGGUCCACUGAGGAGAGAACAAGGCCAUGGAAGGUUAAGGAAUUCUCUGCAGACGAGAGUGGGGGAGAAAGCCCAUCUAGUUUAUGGAAUGAAAAAAUUGGCACAUCUCACAUCACCAGUGAAACACAAACAAUUCCAAGGGAGCUUCAGCAACAGUGUGGUCCCAGCCUUUGUGUUAGGAUAAAAGAGGGGCGUGAACGCAGAUGAGGCUUCAAAUGUGAUUCCAGGUCCGUUGGCAGGAAGAUUGAUCAAGGUUUGACCUAAUUGUGGUCUCUCAUUGAUGGGCAAAAUGUGAAUCCCAAUGAAGAAUUGAUCUGCCACUGAACAGAGAGUUACUCUACUGUACACAGCCGGCGCCACGGACAGAGUGGCUUAGUCCUGAUGAAGAUGUGUCUAUUUUGUCUUGUCCAUUCAAUUUGACAUUUGUCUUCUGGCAGAAGAUCCUUUAUUGAGACAAGGGACAGAGAUGCUUUUUUAUUUCGUUGGAACAGCAUGAAGAAAUUUUGCUUUAUUUUAUUGUAGGGGUGAGCGGAUAUCAGGGUUGGGAAAAUUAUACUUCCUGGAUAAUUACUUCUGAGAUAGAUGGUUCCAGUUGAGGAAAAGCCACACGAGAAAAUGAAGUCCCUUCUUAAUAACCGGACUAUUCAUGUUACGAAGGGACUACUUCUAUUUUUACCAAUGAACGACAUAGUUGAUUCUGAAGUCACACACAUUGUUGUGUUGGACAACCACACCCACUGAUUAUGAGAACAGAGGUCUAUUUUAAAUAAAUGAAAUUAAGAUUUUUUUAAAAAAAGAUGAUACUAUAUUUAUGCAUGAAAGAUGUAAUAUAUUUCCUUAAUGAAAAAACAAUCAAGACAUUUACCUACAAUUAUUAUUCAAAUACAGGAUUUUCAUGUCUACCGGAAGCUUUCACUAUUUUUACUGUUCCUGGAGUGCUUGGAGUGAGCAUAGGCUAGCCCUCUCAGGAGGGCUGCCCUAUACCCUGACUGGGCUUGCCACGGUGUGUCAGCAGGAUGAGUACUUGUGAGGGUUUGGCAUGCACGAAUGUGUAGUUUGUUUCUCUAGAAAAGCCUAACUAAUAUAGGAAGAUUCACAGGCGGGUUACUCUAGCUUUUAGGUAAUAGACAUAACAUCAUACCAUUCUAGGAUGAAUGGUUUCCAUGUGGGAACAUCAGUGAUUUGUGGAAAUUAACUUUCUUUUCUAGUUGCUACCCCAAUUGCUAUGAUUCUUGUGUGAUAUCCUGCUUCCCUCCUGCCUCCCUCCCACUUUCUUCCUCCCUCCCUCCCUCCUUCCUGUACCCUUCCUUCCUUUCUCUCUAUUUUCCUUUUGGAGGGUGGGUAGUAAUUUCCUAUACAUCCCAGGCCAGCUCAAACCUGCCAUUCUCCUGCCUCAGCCUACAGAAUGCUUGGGUUUCAGGUGUGUAUUACAAUGCACUCAGCAGCUUGCCCAGUUCAUCCACCAGGACAUGAGGAAGAAAGAUGGUCAAGACCAGCAUCCUCAGCACUUUACUUCAGCAUCAGAUCUGGCUGCUGCCAGGAUCAUGUGAUGCACCUGGUAAAAGUCCCGUGGGUCUUUUUCAGCAUUUGCUGAUGCUAAACCACGUCCAUGACAAUAUGCUAAAUGCCAAAAGAAGUUGUGUUGAUGGACACCAUCGACUUAUACAAUCCCAGACAAUCCAUUCAAUUUUCUGUCACAACAUUACCACAUGACAUAUGGGCAUAUAUUAGGAGUAUUUAAUGUUUCACUUCAUGGACACACACACUUAAUUUGAAAACCUUAGAUAAAACAUGCAGUAAAAUGGGGAGAAAGAAGUGGUUUCCUGGAUACUUAAUGAUGAAGCAUGGGAUGCUCAUGAUAAGCAAAAAUUAAAAAUGACUUUUCAGUCCUUUGAAAUUCUAUCUAAUGUAUAAUGGCUGGAGAGCUUGGCUCUAAAAAGUCACCAGCACCUGAAUUAUAAAUAAAAAAAAUUAGAAAUAAUUUAAUUUACUUUCAAAUAAUAAAUAAUCUUUGAAGGAAAAAAGAAACCCUUACAGCAAUUUAUUUUUUUUAAUGAAAGGGGGUAUUUGUAGUUACUUUAGCAUCCACCUUUUUUCAGUAAAAGGGGAAUUAAACUAUUACAGGACACCUUGUUAAGUAAUUAUACAGCAGCAUCACAGUGCAAUUAAAUAGCCAUCAGUCCCCGCAGCUGAGAAAUUCCAGGUAAUUAUUCAAAGAUAAUUUAAUAGGAGAAUUACUGUAUUCAAGCAAGGAUUAGCAAGUAAUCUACCUCAAUUAAAGCAUCCAAUUAAUUUCCGAGCCUCGAUAACAGUUGCCUUUGGCAAAAUGAUCCUUCCCUUCAUUUGAUCCUGCAUAGGCAAUAUUCCUUAAACAUUGUGUAAAAUUAAUUUACUUCUUCUAAAAGUACAGUCUAUUAAUAGCAGCCUCCUGAGAAAUUAAACAGAUGCAAGAGUAACAACGGCGUCUUCCUGCCUGCUUGCUUAUGCCUUUUCCCCCCCCAGUCUUCUGUGCAGAAACAAAACACAGCCAACUCGGACCUGUUAGUCCCAGCGUGCAUCACCAAGCAGGAAAACCUGCCAGUGAUGGAGAGUUCCUGAAGAAAUUUUUGUUGCUGGACUGAUUAACUCAGCGGACAGACGGUCUGUGGGAACUCUGUCUCUGGGAAUCUGAUGAUCAUGUGGCCGGGAUGACGACUGGGCAAGUAUGGAGACUUUAGUGGGUGGGGUUUCCUUCGUUGAGUUUCUUUCAGAUUGCUGCAGAAAGCCCUCAGCAUUGGGACACAAAGAGAGGUUUGGAUGCUCUGGGAGGACCUUUCACUGUCUCAAACUGUCUCUUAACAGCAGCCUUUCAGUUCUGCCUCACUUACGGUUUCUCUGGGUAAGUCAUCACUCCUUUGAGAUGUGGCAUCAUCAGUGUGUGCGGGAUAUGCCUAAGGAAAUUGUUCCCCCCUGAGGUCACUGACAGACAGGACGUACAGGAUCAGGAUCUUGAGCUCAGGGCCUCAAGACUGAAUGGAGGUUGCCUAAGGCUUGUGAUAAUAGGCUCUCUGUGUCUGAUGGUUGGAAAUGGCUUACCUCUGGCCAUCAUUUUCAAUACCUCAGAAACCUGUUUCCCACCCGCAGAGACAGGAUAAGAAAACACUACAGAGAUGCCCAGGGAUGACCUAGAAAAUUGUUGCGAAUGCAUCUCCCCAUCUCUUUAGUGGCAGCAACUUCUGUCUUUGUCUCUUUAGCUUCUUUAGUCACCUCUCUAUCUUCUACUUGGAAAAAUGACCCUAUGUGCAUUGCUGUGAUUCUGACUACUGUUUUCUUAGGAGCCAGCUUCCACUAUUUCCUCAAGUGGACAACAAACUGAAACUGUAGGCAACAGGUUUUUAGCCCAGUACACAGGCUUCUGGAACUCUCUUUCAUUCUUUUGAGAGCAAAGGCUGUAGGAGGCCAUGAGCUAGAAUUAUAUCGCUCAGCUGAGGUAAGCAAACUGGGCCAUGCAGAUGCCCAGUCCAUCCGGUCUGUUUAUAGCAUAUGUACAUGCAUACAUACACGUAUGCAUAUAUACUUACACACAUAUGGGAUAGAUAGGUACAUACAAACAGAUGAUAGACAGUAGACAGAUGAUGGGUGGGAGGUGCAUGACGUAUGGUGAUGCAGACAGACUAACCUGAAUGCCCUGUGUUUAUAUUCUCACCACCUGAAUAGGUAACUCUGGCCAGUCCACUCCUAGUGUUUAACUCUCCAAAGUUCUACUAGUUCCAAAGCCCAGAGUUUGUCCCACAGAAUACAGAACUUGACAGUGCUGUAGGAGUCAAGAAUGAGCCACAAACAACACGUGCUCAGCAAGCAGCAAAUGCUUGCAAGUGGUUACGGACUCCACAGCAUUUGACAUUACUUUGUUAGGGUUCCCUGUCCUUGUAUUGUCACAGCAAUACGAGAAAACGUGUAUUGAUCAUGCACGUGGCUCCCUCUUUUAUCAAUGAACUUUGACUACAAUUUCAAAGUUGUACUUUCUAGGUAAAGACUGCAAAUGAAUUUCACACUGCCUGGUGUUAUCCGUGGAGCAGGUCUGAUGUCACCCAGGGCUUAUGACACCCUAAAGGUACCUGGUCCUUACUUGGCACAAAGCACAUACAUAUAUCAUUGAGCUUGUUUGCAUAUUUUCACAAUGACCAAGCUGGACUUUUUUAAGUUUUCUGUGUAUGGGUGUGGGCAUACAUGUAUGCAUGUUUUGUGGACAUGUGUGUGGAGGCAUUGUUGUUGUCCAAUGUCUUCCUCAAUCGCCAUCUAUCUUACUUUUUGAGAUAAGGCCUAUUCACUGAAAUUGGAACUCAAGGAUUUGCUGGCCAGUCAGCUCCAGAGAUUCCCGCCCCCCAUUCAAGGAUCUGGCAUGCACCCCCAAACCUGGCUUUUUACACAACAUUAGAAGGCCUAAUUCAAGUCAGAAAGCACUUUAUUGAUGGAGUCAUCUUCCCACGCCUAAGUCCUAUCCUUUGUGUCUUGAGUAGUCUAAUCAGUGUGAAGUUAAACUGUUAAUUCACAGAAGUAUGUUUAUCUCUGAGCAACACUUUAUUUUCUCCUGCUAUAGAGGUAUCAACCGGGAGAAAGACUGUAAAAGACAAAUGUGAUAUUUCCUCCUGCAAAGGGUUUUGUUUUGACAGCAGCUGAUGAGCUUUGAGGAACAAGUUCACACUCUUCAGCUCUGUGUCUUAAGCAUCACCACCACUGUCCAUCAUUUCGCUGUUGCUAUGGUAACACAACCCUGGCAGAAGCAGCUUAACGGGGACUUUAUUUUGGCGCACAGUUUCAGAGGGACAAAACCCAUCAUGCAUGGAAGACAUGGGGGCAGAAGCAAGAGACAAGCCAAUCAUAUUGCAUCUACACUCAGGAUGUGGGGCCAGACACAGAGCUUCAAAGCCUCACCCCUAACACUAGUGGCUUACUUCCUUUUCCCUAGGCUUUCUCCUCUAAAGGCUCCACAAUCUUGCAAACAGCUCCACCAAGUGGAGAAGAAGUGUUCAAACAUGCAAGUCUCUGGGGGACAUUUCACUUCCAAACCACAGCAGUCAAUAAGGGGCACCAUUUCCCAUGCAGUGCUGCCUUCCUGCUGACACUCAGCAUCAAAACAUACAUGUGGCGGGCCCUUCAUCAUUGUGUACCCUCAGCACGACAUCCGAGCCAUGCAAGCAGCUAAGUCUCUCUGAAGUCACAAGGGGCCAGAGGAUGUAAUCCACUCUCCCAGUGCCUCUUGUGACCCAAUGACCACUGCUUUAGGAGGUAAGCUACCUGUAAUUUUCUUUUAGAAUUAAAAUAGUAGAUUUCGCUUCCUCUCCAUGCCAGGUAGCUGUUAUUUUCACGUUUUAGCAAGAUUUAAGAAAAACACCUGAAAGCCUUAUAGAUUUUCCACUGUUACCCACUCCCUGAGUCCCUUAAAUAAAGAAGCCCAUAAUUGAUUAAUGAAAAGCCAAGUCAUUUUGGUAUUAAUACAAUCCCCUGGGUGGGCCUCUAAUCACACCUGGCAGGCCUGUAACAGCAUCGCUCUGUUACACGUCCAGGUUAAAAACCUGCAAAUCAACACAGCCCACAAGGAGAUUUUCAGCAUUUCCAAUCUGAUAAUCCAUGAUAAAUGCCUGCCAGAGGUUGGUCAGAGCCCAGGCCCUUUAGGAUUUUAAGCCUCUCUGCUUGUUAAAAAUGUUUAUACCUGAGUAUUCAAAGUUGGUACCCAUUUACACGAAUAUGCCUAACACAUGAGUGUUGCAAAUGCAGAAUUAAAAUACCACAUUAUCUCAUUUCUCCAUGAAAACAUAGUUGGAUAUUUGGCAGGGUCCUUCAGGUGGCUCUGCAUGAACCUCAGACAGAGCCACCUCUGAUGAGCAGAGUCAUUUCUGUGACUGAGUAUGUCAGUCUAUGCAGCCUUUGUGUGAGCAGGUGGACCAGUAUGGGAGUCCACUCUCACUCCUCCUCCCUAGGGCCCAAAACAUAUCCAGUCACAGGCAACACAAAAAUAUAAAUAUUAAUCUCAGGCUGGUGAGAGGGCUCAGUGGUUAGCAGUGCUUGCUGCCAAGCCUGAAGACCCAACCUUGAUCCCUGGACCUUCAUGGUAAAAGGAGAAAAUUGACUCUGGCAAGCUGUCCUCUGACACCCCCAUGCACACCACAGCACACACACACACACACACACACACACACCAACACUGAGUAAACAAAAGCAACAAAACUUUUGUUGCUUUUGGAAAACAAGGGUGUCAUGGAAGAACAGGAGGCUACUUAACUCUGCACCUUUAGAAGGAAUCUUCCAGAAGGCACUGCUCAGUGUGAGUUCUUAUAGUGGUUGAUCUUGACUGUCAACCUGGCAGGAUUUAGAGUCACCAUGGAAACAAAUACGAGCCAUGUGAUGGGGUUUCUGGAUUAGGUUAACUGGGCUGGUCUUAAUUGCGAAGGUCUUCCACCUAACCUGUAUGUGAGCAAUACCACCCCGUGGUCUGGAUAAGCAAACCAAGCAACAGCAACCACACCUCUGCUUCCUGAUUGGAUGCCAUGUGACCAGCUGCUCAAGCUCCUGCAGCUGUGACCGUAGCCUGAACUGGGGACCCAAAUCAUCUUUAAUUGCAUUAAUUGCUUUCAUUAGGUUCUUUGUCAUGGCAGGACAAGUGACUACUACAACUUCCCCUCGUCCACCUUGCCUCCUGCUCUGUCUACACCUAGCUCUUUUGUUAAUGGUGGUUGCGAUGUCUCGUGUGUCUGUGGAGAGCAACUCGACCAGCUCACGGGUGUCGGGCUCACAUUCAAAGAAAGCUCAACCUUCGUAACAACACAAGCUGUAAUGGCAGCACCAGGGGAUGGAGGCAAGAAGACAAGGCAAGCUUCAGGCCAGCCUGGGCUACCAAAACCAAAAAACAAAAAACCUAACCCAAUUCGUAAAAUCAAAUCAGAUUCAAUCAAGUUACUUAGCAUAUCCAGUACCGGCCUCACCCACCAGCACCACAGGCACCAUUGCUAAGUGUCUGAGCUGACCAGUGCUAAUCACACUGAGCCUGACAGUCUCCACCCAUCUUUAUCCUAAAUGGCAAGUCUGACCCAUUCAGCAGCAGGUUUUCAUUCUCACCCCUUCCCUGAUAACCUUGACUCUCCUCCCACUCUCUGUGACUCGUCUGUCCUACCUACCUCAUGGGAGUGGAGUCAUACAGGGUUUCUUCCUUUGCAGUUGGCUUAUUUUACUGAGCAAAGUGCUUUUAAAGAUUCACCCAUUGAGUACCAGGGGUCGGAAUGCUACUCCUCUUAUGGCUAAGUAAUAUUCCACUGCAUCUCACACUGUGUGUAUUCACUCAUCCGUUGGUGGAUACUUGGGUUAUGUAGUAUUGACUACUGUGCCUUUCAAUUAAAGAAAAAAACAAUCUGUUUAAGCUCGAUUUUUCAGUUCUUGUGGUGGGGAAGGGAUAAGUACCAGGGCCUUGAGCAUGCUCUGCAAAUGCUCGCUCCACCACGAAGGUCCAUCCCCAGCCCUUCUGCUUUCAGCUGUGUUGAGUGCGUACCUUAGCCUGAGAUAGCCAGGACAUACUAGAAACGUGUGCUGGCUUUGCAGAGCCAGGCACUCCCGUUGCUCUGGAGUCUUGUGCUGUGCCUCCGGCAGCUGCAGCCGGGAGCCAUCCACUUCCUGAGUUGGAUCAGUGGGUUCCUCCUCCUUCCUCUUGAGAGAGAAGCGCCCCAACGAAACGGGGGAGCUUUAUGUAUCUUGCUAGUGAAAUAUUUGGGGCACAGAUCAUAAAGUGUUUGCUGCUCCUGUGGCCUAGAAACAGAUUCUGUACCCAGCCUCCCUCUGAUCCUAAAGGAGACUCAGAACUAUGACCUACUUAUUAAUUCAAUCAAAGGCUUGUAUGUGUGGAUGUGUGUGUGUGUGUGUGCGCGUGCGCAUGCCUCUUUAUCUGUAUAUUUUAGUGUGGAUGUGUCUGUGUAUGUGAAGGUGCAUUUGCGUGUACUAGUUCAUAGUAUCCUGCCUGGCUUUUUUUUUUUUUUUAAAUGUGGGUGUUGGAUAAAAAGUUCAGGUGCUCCUGCUUAUACAGAAAGACUUUUACUUAAGGAGCCUUCUCCAUAGUCUUUGAAGUUAGGUCUUAAAAGAUCUUAGAAAUGUGUUUAUGGUACCUUACCUCCCAGCAGUUUUUCUUCUCAUUGCCCUGAAACUUUCAGAAACAUUUACAUACCUCUCCCUGGUCAGGUCCACCCCUGGGCUUCAUGUAGCCUGAGCUGACCUCAAACUCACCAACCACAUAGCUGAGGAUAGCCUUGAACUUAUGCCCUGCCACUGUUGCCUGAGUGCUGAGACUGCAGAGAGGCAAUUCCCAAGCCUGUCUCAUGUGCUGGGAGUGGAACUCAGGACUUCUUGCGUGCAAGGUUAGCAUUCUUCUAACUGAGCCACAUCCCUGGACCAAGAAUCUCUGUCCCUAAUUAUUUUUGUAAUUACUUCCUUUUCUCUUCUUCUUGUAUGUGUGUGUGUGUGUAUUAUGUAUGCAUGUUUAAAUAUGUGUUCUCCUACAGUGCCUGUGAUAUCCCAGGCCUGAUUUGCAGAGUCUUCUUGGAAAAUUCUCCAUCUUAUAGAGACAGGGUUUCUCAGUUGAACUCAGAGCUCAGCAAUACAGCAAGGCAGUUGCUCUUGAACUCGAUUUCCAUGUGCCUAGUCCUGAAGCAGCAGGUGUUAGGAGUACUCUAGGAAUCCAAAGUCAGGUCCCCAGGCUUGUGUGACAGACACAGGUGGCACAGAGCUGUGUCCUCAGCCCUCCUACCCCAGCUGGUUUCUUUCUUUUAUCCAGUGACCAACAGUGCCUCUGCCUUCAGUGCUGCAGUAUUUACUAAUAAGUCAGAGUCUUCCCAAGAGAUCUUUCCUUCAUCUCAACUUCAAGGAAUGUGAUUCUUUAAGAACAGGGGAGUGAUGGUGCACAUCUGUAAUCCCAGCACUCGGGAGGCAGAGGCAGGUGGAGUUUGAGGACAGCCUGAUCUACAGAGUGAGUUCCAGGAUAGCCAGGACUACACAGAGCAACCCUGUCUCAGAAAUCAAAGCAAAAACCAAACCAAACCAAACAGCAUCAAACAAAAGAGAGACAGAGAGGUAGAGAGAGAGAGAGAGAGAGAGAGAGAGAGAGAGAGAGAGAGAGAGAGAGAGAGAGAGAGGAGAGUGGGGAGCUGGUCUCCUCUACCAUACUACCUGUCUCUAACUGGUACCUGUGUAUGUCUAUACAUACUGACCUAAACCUAUAGAACUAUCAGCAUGGUGACCAAAACUGCUGCUGUGUUAUGUGACCUGAUGAUGGUUUAUGGGUACAACCAGGAAGUCAGCAGCUUGCAUCAAGAACUAGUGGUCAGAGCUACUGUCGCUUAGGUUGAACAGACAGGUGGCUCCUCUGCCAAUGAGAACACAAGGUUGGCUACUGUUUCACCCAUCAUAGUCAUUUUUGUUGUAUCUAAGCUUUCCCUUAAACACAAACAAACAACAACAAAAUGGACUUGGGACUUGGGAAAGGGAGCAACACUUAUGAAAGCUCUGACAUCAGCUUCUAUUGAUGGCGUCUGGGUAGAUGGGCUCCUUCAUACAUUCUAGCCCUAUGGCUCCACCUCACAUGCUCACAAAGCAAGCCUGAGUGUAAGUAAGGCUGAGUGUAAGUAAGGCUGAGUGUAAGUAAGGCUGAGUGUAGGUAAGGCUGAGUGUAAGUAAGGCUGAGUGUAAGUAAGGCUGAGUGUAAGUAAGGCUGAGUGUAGGUAAGGCUGAGUGUAAGUAAGGCUGAGUGUAAGUAAGGCUGAGUGUAAGUAAGGCUGAGUAUGCCAGUUGAGCCCUGAGAGGCUUACCUAACUGUGUUAAGAGAAUCUGGCAACUCAUUGGGUGGUGUAUGUCUCCGUGUUCAUGUGGUCAUGUGUGUACAGACGAACAAGUACAUAUAUGUAGGAGUGAGGAAAACAGUGUCAUUUCUCAGGAGCUGGUCACAAUUUUUAUUUUAUUUUUAAAAAUUUAACAAUGUCUCACCAUCAUAGAAUUCACUUCUCCAGGAAACCCUGUGCUUCAUCCCAGCAUCCUUGGGAUUACAAGUGCACACCCCUAUGCCUGGCUUCCCCCCACCCCCUUUUGGGAUCACAAGUGCACACCCCUAUGCCUGGCUUCCCCUACCCCCUUUAUAAAGAUUCUGUGAUCAAACUGAAGUCCCCAUCCUUGCAUGGCAAGCAGUGAAAUUUCACUGAACCAUCUCUUCUACCCUGAUUCAAGGUUCUAAUCAUUUUAGCAAAACCUACUCAACAUACCAGCUAUGGCAUCCACUCCAUGUCUAGACAAAAGCUAGUAUAACUUGUUCGAUGGUGAAAAACAAAUGAAUGGAGACCGCCUAAAGGAAAGAGUCUCCUGAAAUUAAAAUCUUAAUCUGGUUCUGAGGGAGUCACAAAAUUGUGCAUCCCUCUAGAGUUAUUGUUAGCAAUUAUGAACAUUGAAUUAGGAAAGAGAAGUGUCUUUAUUUGCUUUGUGGUCAGGGACAUGAAAAGCAGGGUCAGCAGAUGUGAGAUUAAGUCAAGAUGAUUCAGGCAGAAAUCCUACUCAAAUUCAAAGUUAUUUGUGCAAAUGAAACUAUCCUCCAUAUCUGUUAGAUGCAGAGGCACGCUGAUAUGUUCAGGAGUCUGAGCUUGGUGGGCAAAUAUAGAAUAUUUGCAUUAUUCAUUAUUUUUUUCAUGUGUGUGUGUGUAUGUGUAUGUAUGUGUACUGUGAAGAACAGUGUAACUGUCAUGACUCAGAUUCUUUUCCCUUUAACCACACUGGUUCCAGGGGAUCAAACUCAGGUCACCCAGGCUGGCAGCAAGCACCUUUUACUCGCUGAGCCAGCUCACCAGCCCGGCUAUGUGCAUUUUUAAUAGGUUGUUGUCAGAUAAGGAUUUAGAAUACAUCUGUACCGGUUCCUGGGAGGCCGAUGAACUUGGCUCAUUCUUAGCUAAGUUAUCUAAAAUACUUUAAAUACUUUAAAAUAAAACUAAUCCCUGCACUGGUGGGUUGAAAACUUUUCCUAUCCCCAGGGCACUAAAAUAAUACCCUUUCCAACAGCAGGGGAAGUAUUUUUAGGCGACAGCUCUCUAGUUAUAACAAGGCAAGUCAAUUUUUAGGAAUUAGGGAUGCUAAUCACGGUGUCUCAAGAUGUGCAUUGCCGGGGAGUGGAAUACAAGACCACAAACCGUCAUGAUCGCUGUGUGCCUCACUCUGAGGAGGAGAUGGAAACAGGAGGGAAACUCGGCUUCCUGGUCCCUCCACAGCCGGAUCUAUCAUAAAGGUCAAGAUAAUUGGCCACAUACAGCAAAAUCAACACCACUCCUCUUCCCUAGCCUAGCAGAUAAGCAGAGAAACUCAGCUCCCUGCCGGGCUAAGUGGUGGCUAGCCGAGGUGGAGGAGGAGAAAGGUCCGAAAAUAUGCAUGCAAAAACACAAGGCCCUGUAAUGAUGCCAUCAGAUUAGCAUUCAAUAUAUUUUACAAUCAAUUGAGAUACCGCAGGCUGCCCCCAAACAUGCAGGAAAUUGGUCCAAGAUUUCACGAGACUAUUCGCUCCUGUGUUUAUGCCUUUCUGUUGCUUUAGACUUUAAAACUUUCAACAUUAUAAAUGUACAUAUUAACAAACGAAAUCAAGGUAAAUGUAAGUUCUAGUUCAAUGCCACCUUUAUAAUAUGACCACAUGAGAAUUCUGCUUUCUGUAAAAGUUCAAUUAAUCUUAAUGAUGCAAAGUCAAAGCAAUAUUGGCUGGAAAAUAAAACAUGUCAGAAAAUGCACACAAAGGGACUGUGGAGAGGCUCUGCAGGGAUGCUCUGUGGGGAUGUUCAGUUGGCAGUGUGCUAGCCUCACAAGCAGGGCCACAUGAGUGCAGUGCUCAUAUUAAAAGGCCAAGCAGAAAGGUGCAGAUUUAUAAUCCCAGCACAGGGAAGCAGAGACAGCUGGAUCUCUUUGGACAACCAGCCUAGACUACAGGUGAAUUUCACACUAGUGAGAGACUGUGAGUUAAAAACAAGGUGCACAGCAGGCACCUGAGGAGCAGCGGGAGCCUUUACACUCAUCUCCCCUAUACAAGAAAAUCUAUAAGGUAAUUGGAUUACUCACCAUACUAGAUUAAUCAUAUGUGUAUCUAAUAAAAGCCUAUUGAAUAGAUUACCAAAGGCAGCCAGGUUGAUGAGGUGAGCUGAUUCUGUUUGUAUCAAUGUCAGAUGACUGCUCACAGUGUGGGGUCCAUGCUGUCCCCAGAACCUUACCUGCUGAACAUUGUUCCCUUGUUAGUGUCUUGAGAUUCUAACUAAUACCUUUUAAGACUCCUGGGGGGUGCACAGACUAUGUAGCUGGCCCUGUGUAAAUGAUUCAACUCUACUGGAGUGCUCCUGUUCUAAGCUCCCUGGAGUGCCUCCUCUGAAGAAAUGGCUCUGCGUUGGAGAAAGGACUCAACCAUUAAGGGUUCUUGCUGCUCUUCCAGAGCAUUGGGCUUUCCUGUACCCACAUGAUGGCUUACAACUGUAUAUCUGGUCCAGGGGAUCUGACACCUUCUCCUGGCCUCCUCCAGCACUAGGCACAUUUGUAGUACACAGACAUACAUGCAGGCAAAAUACCCAUACAUAUAUAAAAAGAAAAAAAAGAAAAGAAAAGAAGAAAAAUUAAACAGAAAUUGAGCAUACACACAGAAUAAAUGUGUAAUUUUUAAAAAUUAGAAAAUGGGAAGUAUCUCCUUAAAAAGAUAAACCACAGGGAAUAGAAAGCCUCUAUGCAGAGGGAAUACAUUUGGGUGAAAUGGGACAAAAAUUUAAGACACAGAAAAAUUAUGGAGUUUGAAGAAAGGACUAAAUUCUUGUCCCAGAAAGUUGAGCCAUGAGCACAGGACACGGCAGCAAUUUGACUGCAUCCCAGAACUCACCCAGGGAAUAAAUUCCAGGGCUGGGAGCGGGGGAGAUGGAGGGGCAAAGCUCUUUUCUGAGGCUCAUUGAAAAGGAUAAAAUGGAUCCCUUUCAAAGAGAAUAGUUCUAGCUGCUGAUGUGUGUUCAAGUUGAUCCUAACUAGUAGGUUUGUCCCCGUGUUCUGGAACGUGUGGACAAGCACAACGUGUACCCAGUGCACUCAGGGGUGUAACGCCUGCUGUGGGCGAGAGUUGGUAAGAUUAUUUAUCUUGGAAAAAGAAAGGUCUAAGUAUGGAGAAAAUGUUCACACGAGAAACAUGAAUCCUUUGGAGAAUGCAGGGGAGAAAAUAACUGAAGACAGUUAACAUAACAGCUACAUAGUCUGUGCACCCCCAGGAGACUUAAAAGGUGUAUGUGUGGCAAGCACUGGGGGGAGGGGCACGGAGGACUAAUUACAUGCAUCAUAGUAAGCUAAAUAUGAUCUGUGGCCCAUUUACCGUUUUCAUCAGGGUUUGCAGUAGGAUUAGCCACAAGCCUUCUGUCUGUUCGUUUUCAGAUGCAAAACUGAACAGGUUCAGCACAUAGCAGCCGAUAUCAUGACUGUCAGCACAAAGGUCGACACUCCAGUAAUGUGUGUGGUAUCAUUAUCACUUGACACCUGAGACAAGAGACUCAGAAAUGAAGGUGGGUUUCCGAAGAAGUAAGCCAGGAGUUGAUGGUCACCUUCCUUAACAUGGUUUUCUAACCAUCAGCGAAGUGGAUGGAGAGAUGACACUGCAGUACAGAUGAACAACAUAGCAACCAAAGCCUCUUCCCAGACCUUCCCACACUGUCUUCUGAGCAGAGGGUCCUGGGCUGUAUAUGAAAGAAGGCCGAGCAAGACAGAGAUUCAAAACUGGGUCUCAGCUGCCACAAAGAAGCUGUGGCUGUGGAGCGAAGUGGGAGGAGCCAUGCUGAGGACUGAGGAAAGAUGCAAGUGAAGCCCAGCUUCAUAUCAAGCAAGGCAUCCUAUCUAAUGACGUUAUACAGUGGGCAAGGCACCAGACAGCCUCAACAAUUGUGGAGCAUCCUUUGUAAGACUUAUCUUUGUGUGUUGGACAACGAGUGAGGUGUGGGGGAGAGACAUCAAACCCGUAUGAGACAUAAGCCUUAAUGACAACAAACAAUUUAUCAGACACCCUUUUUCAUUCAGCAUCAACAUGUGGGGGCCAUCGAGAGAACUGAAUGAUUUAACCCAUCUCAUUCAUCAUCCGAACCAGGGAACAAGUUGUAAAAGUCAUGUUUUCCUAGAUUACCUGACAGGAGAUGUAUGAAGCAGGGGAGGGAACAGUGAAGAUGACAGGUGGUGUGCCAGUCUUCUGAGCAGCUGGAGGAUAGCAACACAUACAUCCUGGCUAAUGGUGGAGAACACCAUCACUUAUUACGCACUAUGUACUUACACCCACAGCUAUAAGGGACAACAGCACAAGAAAAUGAAGCAAAUGCCUGAGGUCACUCUCUGUAGCAUGCACUCAACAAGCGAAGUGGAGAUUCUGAGCCUCACAGCUUAAGGCUUGAUUCUACAGGCUGAAUAAAUUCUGCAUUGCUGCCACAUUCCUUCGGUUGCUACUAUUCUAUUUAAACAUCUGCUUCCAGAUGUGGAGAUGCCCAAAUCUGGCACAUGAGCUCAAGGAUUGGGUGUCUUCCUAUAGUGGAAAAAAAAAUCAAGAUUUAAUUUGGAUAAGUCAGAUGAAGAAUGGCGACCAGGCUUUUAGAGUCAGCAACAGUCCCUUUUGCAAACAUUGUUUAAAUUUAUCUGUUUCAAAAA